AUGAGAUCUAGCCAAACCGACAGCCACAAGGAUCGACCGAUCGACCGACCGAGCGUGGAAACGAACAAAGUGGCUAGGCAUGCAAUGCAGGGAGUGCACGAUAGCUCCAUGCUGAUGCUAAUUUUCUCUGCUACAUCCAACGCCACAGAUAUCCAAACCGAAGAUGGGAGGGAGAAGAGAACAAGUGGAAAUACGUGCAAAAAAGCUACUAUUACGCCAGGAAAUGAGAGAAAGCAACAACAAAAAAAGGCGUUGGAAAAUGCAUGUCGAGCUUUGCCAGCUACGCGCGGCAGGCAUCUUACCUUAAACCCCCAGUGCGCAGAGGCAUAG
RNAcentral lists this ribosomal RNA (330 nucleotides) under Triticum aestivum (bread wheat). RNAcentral describes it as "partial small subunit ribosomal RNA". Lineage: Eukaryota; Viridiplantae; Streptophyta; Magnoliopsida; Poales; Poaceae. The record is from RNAcentral.